AGCUUGAGUGAUGAAGUAAACAUCGUUGGACUAAUCUUGCAGAAUGAGGAGUAGCGAGGAGGAGGUUUAUACAGGAUGUUUUACUCAUCCUCACUUCUGCCAUCCCAGGUCUGAGCCCCUAAUGCCCUCUUGAUGCUUCCCUUCGAGCUGAAGCUGCUCAAUUGUGCCUUCCUCUCGUAGGAUCACAGAAACAUUAAGGUUGGAAAAGAAAGACUGGAAAAGACCUGUACGAUUAUCAGAUCCAACUCACCCCACCGUGCCCAUAGCCACGUCCCUCAGAGAACAUCUCCACGGAUCUGGGACACCCCCAGGGAGGUGACCGCAUCGCUCCCUGCGCAACCUGUGCUGCUGCCUGACUGUUUUUUCAGAGAAGUUUUCCCUAAUAUCCACCCUUCUCUUCUCUUCUUCCUGUGUCCCCUAGCAUCGCCUGGGGCCGUACAGGGUUUCUGACCUCUGCCUGCCACUGGACAAAUAAUCCCAUCCACAGCAAAUUUACCCUCAAACCAGAUUGGAAAUAAAAUGCCAGGAGUUAAUGGUGGGUUGGAAGCAGAGCGUUUUCAUGUGUUUUGCUUCUGCAAUUUCCCCCUUUGUUUUAAAGGGAAUGACUUUACCAAAAAUAGUCAAAGGAAGAAAAUAAAGUUUAAGACUUCUGGGAAUGAGCCAAGUUUUCAACGCUGAAAAUCAAUUAUUGCCUAAUAUUUUAAAGUCAAGAUCCCCGUGGUCUGGCAGCAGGCCAGCUCAUGGCCGGUCACCUGCUUUGUUCUUUGCCUUUAAAAACUCCUUUAUUUGCCGCAGAGCUCCAGGUUCCAGGAGAGCACUGGUUGCUGUGGUCGGUGCUGCUGCGAGGAAGGUGACUCCUACCAGCAGUGUGUGUGCAUUGCGGGGUUACCGAUAACAAAUAAAAUCAUUGCACGAGAUAAAAUGAUUGCUUUGGGAAGGAAUUGCAAGGUGGCAUAAUUAGACAUCGGGCAUUUUUAAGGUUACUUUACGACUUUGGAGCUGCAAAAGAUGGAAGUAAUUUAUUUCAUCUCAGUAAUGCUCCUCUCUGGUCUAGCAAUUUAUCAGAAGUGUUAAUCCAACAGGCAGGGAGCGUGCACGGUGGGAGGGGGCACAGGGAACACAGGCAGCAGAGAGAGAAGACAUUGAGAAUGAGCUUGGAAAUAUUGUACAUCUCAUUAAAAAUGUAAUCAUGCAUAAAAUGAGAUCAAUGAAAAUUUAUCUAAAAGUGCAAGGAAAAGGCGUUUUCUGGUGUGAUACCGGGUAUAAUAGACUGGAUUUUAAUUUAGUCAGUUGGCAACAAAAAUCCCUCCAGGCUAAAUAAAACAGUUUCCCUCCCAGUUAUUGUAUGGACAGCUAAUUUUCUGCACCUUUCCUUCUAAUAUUCACCCUUAUCUCUUGCUGGAUAGAGGUUUCAAUAUACUACGGAGUUUGUUUUCUUUACAUUUCCUAUUACUGCAAUUUAAUUUGCAUGAUAAAUGAUGAGAGGUAGAAAGAUGAUAAAAAGAAGCAGAACAUUUCUUUAUUAAUUUUGUUUAAAUUAGUGUAACUUUUCACUGACUGUGCUUUUUACAGAGAAAGCCUCUGUAGGAGUUAUUUUAAGACCCUAUUGUGGCUGGGAAGGAUGCCACACUCCACAUGCACCUCCUGCUUCAUGUGUCACCGUGCACAUUCUUGUUUUGGUGUUCUGCUUCCUGCUUCACACCGUGCCUAAUGGUGCCUCUGGGCCAUUUUGUGCAGCACUGGUGACUUCUGUGCAGCAUCUGUGGUAUGGGGACGGUGCUGGAUGGUUUUAUACAUAGAUGGGGAUGCGGAUGGGGGUUGGAGUGGGUUGAGGAUGGGAACAGAGCUGGAAACAGCGUGGCUGUUCAUGGGUCCAGCUGCUGCGGAUUUUCAUCUUUUAGGGAGUUGCUGCUCAGUGACAGGACAGAGGCUUCUGGGCUCACUGCUAGGAACAACGACGUGAUGUUCAAAUGUGUGCGGGUACAACUCUGCCUUGCUCUGAGUGCCCUGGAGCGCAGUGCUUCUGAGCAAUGUUUGAGAUCCAGUGGUGACCCAAAUGCGCUGAGCCAAGGUGCAGGUGCUGCUUCUUGGCUCUUUUAUCUGUGCAAACUCACCGCCUUGGUCAUGGCAGUGACUCAUGUCCCACCCUGUGCUUUGCUGGCAGCUCAGCGUUUAUUUCAACAGCGCAGAGUUGGGAUGGCUUUGCUCAUGGCUGUUAGAUUACAAUUUCUGCUUACCCCAGUGGUUCCUCUCUUUCUUGCUGCCACCAGAGCAUGUGGCUGGGAUGCCGCCAACCAACAUGGAGCCUGCUGCAGUGCCAUGACUGCCUCAUCCCCCGGCCCCAAACCCUGCACCUCCUUCCAUCCCAGGAACAAGCAUCUAGUAAUCAGAUCAACGUGCAGAAAAUGGAAUCAAGAUUCGUGCAUUAUGUCCAGGGAUGAAUUCUGCGUUAGCUUUCCCCUGCAGCUGCCUGCCAGAAGCGCAGCUCGCCCAGCCCAGGCCAUGCUGCACACAGCCAGCCAGGUGAGACGUGCCUGCGGUGGAGCAGCCGCUCCCAGCUGGGCCCAUGAUGAUGGGUCGCCCGCCUGCUAACGUUGCACAGCAGUGGCUGUUACCUGGAGCAGGGACCAGAGCAUCUAGGCAGAUCUUACGAUGGGGUCUUUUUCUCCUGUGCACUUUUCUUCUUUUUCUUCUUUUUCUUCUUUUUCUUCUUUUUCUUCUUCUAUGUACUAUGGAAUGCAUUGCUGCCAUUCCUAGAGCCCGCCUCAGUUGCUACUGCUAUCUCUUCCAAAGGCAUCAUUGUUCAUAAAGCUUCUGAUAUUAAAACUCCUCAUUGUAUAAUCAAAGUGAGUAUUGUGACCAUUAUGCAGUACGUUGCUCUGUGUUCUCCACACGAUGAUUCUAUGAUGUGAUCCAUCUGGUUGGUUGGUUGUGCUGUGAUGUCUUCCUCUCCAUCUCACACGGAACAAAACAAGCUCCAAUUUGCCCCACUCCCCCCACCCCCUCCCAGUUUUUCA
This is a non-coding RNA of Meleagris gallopavo (turkey), 3017 nucleotides long. The record is from RefSeq and is a predicted model, not a curated record. Lineage: Eukaryota; Metazoa; Chordata; Aves; Galliformes; Phasianidae.